UGGGGAAUAUUGCACAAUGGACGGAAGUUUGAUGCAGCGACGCCGCGUGGAGGGUGUAGGCCUUCGGGUUGUGAACUCCUUUUUCUCGCGAAAAAGGCACAGUUUUGGCUGUGUUGAUGGUAGUGGGGGAAGAAGCGCCGGCUAACUACGUGCCAGCAGCCGCGGUAAUACGUAGGGCGCGAGCGUUGUCCGGAUUUAUUGGGCGUAAAGAGCUCGUAGGUGGUUCGUCGCGUCUGUCGUGAACGCCAGCAGCUUAACUGUUGGUCUGCGGUGGGUACGGGCGGGCUUGAGUGCGGUAGGGGUGACUGGAAUUCCUGGUGUAGCGGUGGAAUGCGCAGAUAUCAGGAGGAACACCGAUGGCGAAGGCAGGUCACUGGGCCGUUACUGACACUGAGGAGCGAAAGCGUGGGGAGCGAACAGG
RNAcentral lists this ribosomal RNA (421 nucleotides) under Fusobacteriota bacterium. RNAcentral describes it as "Fusobacteria bacterium partial 16S ribosomal RNA". It matches the Rfam family "Bacterial small subunit ribosomal RNA", at positions 355 to 776 of the family's 1533-position model. Lineage: Bacteria; Fusobacteriati; Fusobacteriota. The record is from RNAcentral.